This 433-nucleotide ribosomal RNA is filed under the name uncultured bacterium. RNAcentral's name for it is "partial 16S ribosomal RNA". It matches the Rfam family "Bacterial small subunit ribosomal RNA", at positions 29 to 507 of the family's 1533-position model. The record is from RNAcentral.
AACGAACGCUGGCGGCAUGCCUAACACAUGCAAGUCGAACGAGACCUUCGGGUCUAGUGGCGCACGGGUGCGUAACGCGUGGGAACCCGCCCUUAGGUUCGGAAUAACUCCCCGAAAGGGGUGCUAAUACCGGAUAAUGUCUUCGGACCAAAGAUUUAUCGCCUUUGGAUGGGCCCGCGUUGGAUUAGCUAGUUGGUAGGGUAAAAGCCUACCAAGGCGACGAUCCAUAGCUGGUCUGAGAGGAUGAUCAGCCACACUGGGACUGAGACACGGCCCAGACUCCUACGGGAGGCAGCAGUGGGGAAUAUUGGACAAUGGGCGAAAGCCUGAUCAAGCAAUGCCGCGUGAGUGAUGAAGGCCUUAGGGUUGUAAAGCUCUUUUACCCGGGAUGAUAAUGACAGUACCGGGAGAAUAAGCUCCGGCUAACUCCGUG